RNAcentral lists this ribosomal RNA (484 nucleotides) under uncultured bacterium. RNAcentral's name for it is "partial 16S ribosomal RNA". It matches the Rfam family "Bacterial small subunit ribosomal RNA", at positions 30 to 507 of the family's 1533-position model. The record is from RNAcentral.
AUUGAACGCUGGCGGCAGGCCUAACACAUGCAAGUCGAGCGGAUGAAGGGAGCUUGCUCCUGGUUUCAGCGGCGGACGGGUGAGUAAUGCCUAGGAAUCUGCCUGGUAGUGGGUGAUAACGUCCGGACACGGGCGCUAAUACCGCAUACGUCCUGAGGGAGAAAGUGGGGGAUCUUCGGACCUCACGCUAUCAGAUGAGCCUAGGUCGGAUUAGCUAGUUGGUGGGGUAAAGGCCUACCAAGGCGACGAUCCGUAACUGGUCUGAGAGGAUGAUCAGUCACACUGGAACUGAGACACGGUCCAGACUCCUACGGGAGGCAGCAGUGGGGAAUAUUGGACAAUGGGCGAAAGCCUGAUCCAGCCAUGCCGCGUGUGUGAAGAAGGUCUUCGGAUUGUAAAGCACUUUAGGUUGGGAGGAAGGGCAGUAAGUUAAUACCUUGCUGUUUUGACGUUACCAACAGAAUAAGCACCGGCUAACUUCGUG